UUGGGUUAAGUCCUGCAACGAGCGCAACCCCUGCUGCCAGUUGCCAACGGGUGAAGCCGGGUACGUCUGGCGGGACUGCCAUCGACAAGAUGGAGGAAGGUGGGGAGUGACGUCAAGUCAUCAUGGCCCUUAUGUCCAGGGCGACACACGUGCUACAAUGGCCGGCACAGCGGGAAGCGAGGCAGUGAUGCCAAGCGGAUCCCUUAAAGCCGGUCUCAGUUCGGAUUGAAGUCUGCAACUCGACUUCAUGAAGCUGGAAUCGCUAGUAAUCGCAGAUCAGCCAAGCUGCGGUGAAUACGUUCCCGGGCCUU
This 311-nucleotide ribosomal RNA is filed under the name uncultured Synergistaceae bacterium. RNAcentral's name for it is "bacterial SSU rRNA". It matches the Rfam family "Bacterial small subunit ribosomal RNA", at positions 1075 to 1382 of the family's 1533-position model. The record is from RNAcentral. Lineage: Bacteria; Thermotogati; Synergistota; Synergistia; Synergistales; Synergistaceae.